Molecule: non-coding RNA, 108 nt
Organism: Pelobates cultripes (western spadefoot toad)
Lineage: Eukaryota; Metazoa; Chordata; Amphibia; Anura; Pelobatidae
Source: the annotation of a GenBank genome assembly
UUUAUGUGUGUGUAUCUCUGUAGUUAAGUGUGUGUGUGUGUGUGUAUAUAUAUAUAUAUAUAUACACACACACACACACACACACACUUAACUACAGAGAUACACAAU